Molecule: non-coding RNA, 713 nt
Organism: Benincasa hispida (wax gourd)
Lineage: Eukaryota; Viridiplantae; Streptophyta; Magnoliopsida; Cucurbitales; Cucurbitaceae
Source: RefSeq, a predicted model, not a curated record
AGACGAUUCCAUAAUUUCAUAAAAUAAUCAUUUGCUGUAGUUGGGAUGUUAAAGACGUCUACUAGACAAACAACUUUCUUUGGUGCCUAGGCCCCAACCCACCACAUCAGUCAUUCCUUGCUUUUCCCCCUCUUUUCUUCUUCUCCCGGUUCUGCACGAAGAGGUAAGUGAGAAUCCGAUGUUUCGAUUUUCAUCCAUGGCAGCCAUUGACAGGACUGAGUUUUGAAGUAACAACAAACUCGGUGAUUCGAUGAACUACUGAUUUUCUUAGCCUGCUUUUGAUUUUUCAAUCUGCAACUCGAAUCACAUCUACAUUUCUCGUCUGUGAAAUUUGAUUCUGAGGAAGAAGGUCUACUUAGAGAGGUAGACUGUUGAGUGGAGAAUUUGUAAGCAUCAGUUCAGUGAUUUAGUAAAAAGAAAAGGUUUCUAUUUUCUUUCCAAUCGCACUAGUUUCUUCAUCUUCUGUUGUUAGGGCAAGUAAUGGAAGUUGGCAUCUGUUUGGAUCGUAUUCAUACAUUCAAAUAGUUUUUCCCUAUAAUGGUCAGGGUCGACGCUCAAAAGAGGAUGAGAUAAGAGCUUACUACAUCUACUGAAUUAUCAUCCUCGGGCAUCUAUGAAAACUACUGCUUUGUAGCUGAGUGAGUUUUUACUCCAUUCUCAACUCCACUGGAAGGUCUAGCAUUCAAAUCUUAAACUAGGCCUCUUCAACUAAU